Molecule: Y RNA, 94 nt
Filed under: Prolemur simus (greater bamboo lemur)
Lineage: Eukaryota; Metazoa; Chordata; Mammalia; Primates; Lemuridae
Description: Y RNA (ENSPSMG00000014577.1)
Rfam family: Y RNA
About the family: Y RNAs are components of the Ro ribonucleoprotein particle (Ro RNP), in association with Ro60 and La proteins.
Source: Rfam by way of RNAcentral
GGCUGGUCUGAUGGUAGGGUUAUCAGAACUUAUUAACAUUUGUGUCACUAAAGUUGGUAUACAACCCCCCACUGCUAAAUUUGACUGGCUUUUA